Sycon ciliatum is the source of this 1838-nucleotide long non-coding RNA. RefSeq lists it as uncharacterized. The record is from RefSeq and is a predicted model, not a curated record. NCBI's taxonomy places the organism in Eukaryota, Metazoa, Porifera, Calcarea, Leucosolenida, Sycettidae. The transcript is spliced from 2 exons.
GGAAAGGCCUUGCGCGGCUGCUCUACGAAGUGUUGAAGAAAGACUCAUCAAAGUUAGUUGGUGGACGAACAACUCGCUGGCGCCGGAAAACUUGGCCCCCAACGAUGGUGUUUGGUGAAUCAUCAAGCAUAAUGUCUUGUAGCAGUGUUCACCGAGGAAGGAGAACGCUCUAGCCGCUGCUGUUGUCCGUUUCAUCCACGUUGGGCGUUAGCUGCACCGCGCCUAUUGUGUUUUAGUAUUCCAUGGACACACAUUAGCAUUCAGAGCGAUUGUGGAGCCACAAUUUACUUCACACAGCGUUGUAUUGUCCACGAGCGCAAACUUAAUUAUCAGCAGUAACUGUUACUCUUCAUCCUACAUGUAGACUUGGAGUAUACACGGCCUUGUCACGACAGCGACAGCUCUACAGAUCAUGCAGAGUGUUCAAGUGAGAAACAUUAAUUUCUAUUGUUGGUGGACGAAUAAAUGGCUGGUUCCGAAAAAACGCGGCCUGCACCGAUGGUGUUUGGUGGAUCAUCAAACAGGGUGACCAGCAGUGUUCACCGAGGAAGGAGAAUGCACUCGCCACCACUCCGAUUCAUCCAAGUGGGCGUUAGCUGCGCCGCGCCUAUUGUGUUUUAGUAUUUCAUGGACGCACACUAGCGUUCUCAGCGAUUGUGGAGCCACAACAUAUCUUCAUGCGGCGUUGCACUGUCCAAGAGCAGAAACGUCAGCAGUGACCCAUCAUCAUACAUGUAGAUUUGGAGUAUACACACCAUGCGCCAAUGGGCCUCGGCACAACAGCGGCAGCUCUACGGAGUGUUCAAGUGAGAAACAUUUGUUUCGACUUUUGGUGGACGAACAAAUCGUCGGUGCCGAAAAACGUGGCCUGCGCCGAUGGUGCUUGAAACAUCAAGCAUGGUAUGUGGUGACUGUCAGUGUUGAUCGAGGAAGGAGAACACUCAGGCCGUCGACCGUUCAUCCAUUUCGUUAGCUGCACCAAGCCUAUUGUGUCCUUGUAUUCCAUGGGCACACAAUCAUGAAGCAUGGCGUCUGAGCUGUGUUCACAGAGCGGGGAGAUGCUCUUGCUGCUAUCUUAUCUGUCCUGUGUAUUCCCAAGUGCCGAAGGCUCACAACGAUGGUGUUGGACAAGUCAGAUAAAAUAGAGUCAACAUCGUCACACGGUGCUGUGACCAAGAUACGGAUCAUGCCGAACGCUGAUUCAACUGGACGAAUCGCGAGGCUUUUCAGAUGCAGGGACACAAUGGAAACUGAAUGACUUCAGAACAGCACUGCUUGGCGCGUCUAUACAGCAUCAUUUGGCACAGCAAGAUGACAAAACAGCUAGCAGUGGCUAUUGGUGAGAAAAUUCUCUGCUGUGCCAUUGGAGUGUGCACGAUACACGAACCCUGCUCUUUUGUUGGCACCGCCUAUGUAACUUACUGCAUAGGGUGCAAGGUGACCGUUGUCGGUUUACAUGUACUCCAGUUAUUACACCGUGCAUGCACUGAGUCUGUGCUGCACUGUGCAUCCAUAGGUGUUCGUUUGCGGUAGCGCAAGGUUGAUGGAUUGUUUUGUCCGCUGCUAUUCGAAGCUCUCGGAGUCGGAAGCGUUACCUCUGUUUCCCCUGUUCCUCCCUGCGCGGAGUCUGUAGUUCUGGCUUGCAGUUGCUGUUACAUGCAUGUUGGCAGUUGCAUGUGUUUUGGUUUUCAGUUGUCUUUAUCAAGUUGUUUUGUGUGGACGACAGUUCAAUAUUCUAGCAGUUGUUGCACUUCCUACUUCUGAAGUACAUUCCGUAGUUAUCUGCGGUUGGUGUUUGAGAGAGCAAACUGUGUUCUUCUCCAGAGUGGAGUAAACCA